GAUGAACGCUGGCGGCGUGCCUAAUACAUGCAAGUCGAGCGAACGGACGAGAAGCUUGCUUCUCUGAUGUUAGCGGCGGACGGGUGAGUAACACGUGGAUAACCUACCUAUAAGACUGGGAUAACUUCGGGAAACCGGAGCUAAUACCGGAUAAUAUUUUGAACCGCAUGGUUCAAAAGUAAAAGACGGUCUUGCUGUUACUUAUAGAUGGAUCCGCGCUGCAUUAGCUAGUUGGUAAGGUAACGGCUUACCAAGGCAACGAUGCAUAGCCGACCUGAGAGGGUGAUCGGCCACACUGGAACUGAGACACGGUCCAGACUCCUACGGGAGGCAGCAGUAGGGAAUCUUCCGCAAUGGGCGAAAGCCUGACGGAGCAACGCCGCGUGAGUGAUGAAGGUCUUCGGAUCGUAAAACUCUGUUAUUAGGGAAGAACAUAUGUGUAAGUAACUGUGCACAUCUUGACGGUACCUAAUCAGAAAGCCACGGCUAACUACGUG
This 497-nucleotide ribosomal RNA is filed under the name uncultured bacterium. Its description in RNAcentral is "partial 16S ribosomal RNA". It matches the Rfam family "Bacterial small subunit ribosomal RNA", at positions 28 to 507 of the family's 1533-position model. The record is from RNAcentral.